Dreissena polymorpha is the source of this 823-nucleotide long non-coding RNA. RefSeq lists it as uncharacterized. The record is from RefSeq and is a predicted model, not a curated record. NCBI's taxonomy places the organism in Eukaryota, Metazoa, Mollusca, Bivalvia, Myida, Dreissenidae. The transcript has 3 exons.
AAGCUUCUUAAGUAGUGAACAAUCACCCACAAAAAACAUUGCCGAACAAUACAGUCCCUUGUGGCAUCCACAUUCGAAGAGUGUCCUGCAAGACUUACUCAUGUAUAAAAAGUUUCAAAAUGGCCUCCAAUCGCCUCGUGGACAAAGCUUAAUGCCAGCGGAGUCCAUGGACACAACUCAGUACGAUGAGGACGACAGUACAACCUCGGGUAGUUACUAUAUCGAAGACAACUCUUUGGAGGAUUGGCAGCACCCUCACCCACCCAUCCAUGACAUCUACGUGUGAUCUCGUGUGAAUAACUCAUCUUUACUGUUGCUGUGAUAAAUAUAGUGCUGAGGGCUGUGUUGUCCAGCUUCUGUUUGCCGAAUACCAUACAUCACUGCAUCAAAGAAAAAAUGGCUGGACAUUAUGCCCCUUCCCUUAUUGCUGUAUUGUGACCUGCUCAAUAUGAAAGACGUAAGGGAGGCAAUUCUUGACUGUGAUAUUUGUGCAAUACUCGAGUGACAGGACUUGAUUCAUAUGCUCAUCGUAACAUGAUUAUUUAUGUAAUUAUUGCCGAUUUUUGAUGUGUUUUGUGUGAACAUUGUUUCAUUUUCAUUCCAAAUGGUGAUCAAUGAAUUGUGCUGAUCGUUUUUAGUUUCGUUGUGGAUUAUUUAUGUAUUUAUCUAACAAAUUUGUAUUUUGUGUUACCUCUGAUGAAUAAAUUUUAUGUAUGGCAUUCUGUGUUAUCAUAAUUGUAAAUGUAUUGUUUUGAUGAACUUUGAAUUUUAACAACCAUUUAUUGCUAAACUGAAAUCAAUAAUAAACAACUUAAAACAAGCA